CCUACGGGGGGCAGCAGUGGGGAAUAUUGCACAAUGGGCGAAAGCCUGAUGCAGCGACGCCGCGUGAGGGAUGACGGCCUUCGGGUUGUAAACCUCUUUCAGCAGGGAAGAAGCGAAAGUGACGGUACCUGCAGAAGAAGCACCGGCUAACUACGUGCCAGCAGCCGCGGUAAUACGUAGGGUGCGAGCGUUAUCCGGAAUUAUUGGGCGUAAAGAGCUCGUAGGCGGUUUGUCACGUCUGUCGUGAAAGUCCGGGGCUUAACCCCGGAUCUGCGGUGGGUACGGGCAGACUAGAGUGCAGUAGGGGAGACUGGAAUUCCUGGUGUAGCGGUGGAAUGCGCAGAUAUCAGGAGGAACACCGAUGGCGAAGGCAGGUCUCUGGGCUGUAACUGACGCUGAGGA
RNAcentral lists this ribosomal RNA (402 nucleotides) under uncultured Nocardioides sp. RNAcentral's name for it is "bacterial SSU rRNA". It matches the Rfam family "Bacterial small subunit ribosomal RNA", at positions 338 to 752 of the family's 1533-position model. Lineage: Bacteria; Bacillati; Actinomycetota; Actinomycetes; Propionibacteriales; Nocardioidaceae. The record is from RNAcentral.